UACGUAGGGGGCAAGCGUUGUCCGGAAUUAUUGGGCGUAAAGCGCGUGUAGGCGGCUCGGUAAGUCUGCUGUGAAAGUCCAGGGCUCAACCCUGGAAUGCCGGUGGAUACUGUCGAGCUCGAGUCCGGAAGAGGCGAGUGGAAUUCCUGGUGUAGCGGUGGAAUGCGCAGAUAUCAGGAGGAACACCAAUGGCGAAGGCAGAUCUCUGGGCCGUAACUGACGCUGAGGAGCGAAAGCAUGGGGAGCGAACGGG
RNAcentral lists this ribosomal RNA (253 nucleotides) under uncultured bacterium. RNAcentral's name for it is "partial 16S ribosomal RNA". It matches the Rfam family "Bacterial small subunit ribosomal RNA", at positions 524 to 776 of the family's 1533-position model. The record is from RNAcentral.